GUUUUUCUGAGUGGUUGAAAGCAUAGUUAGUAAAUUCGCGAUUAAUACGCGAAUUAUUCGCGUAUUUUUCAAAAUGCGAAUUAAAUGACGAAUUUCGUAUUUUUCCGAAAAAUUCGAACAAAAUACGCGAUUUUUUCAUCAAAAAUCAUUAUUCGCGAAUUAUUCGCAAUUCGCGAAUAAUUCGCCCAAAAAAUCGCGAUCGCGC
This 205-nucleotide long non-coding RNA is filed under the name Ananas comosus (pineapple). RNAcentral's name for it is "long non-coding RNA (ACOM_LNC011403)". The record is from RNAcentral. Lineage: Eukaryota; Viridiplantae; Streptophyta; Magnoliopsida; Poales; Bromeliaceae.